GAUGAAGAACGUAGCGAAAUGCGAUAAGUAAUGUGAAUUGCAGAAUUCCGUGAAUCAUCGAAUCUUUGAACGCACAUUGCGCCCCCUGGUAUUCCGGGGGGCAUGCCUGUCCGAGCGUCAUUGCAACCCUCAAGCGCGGCUUGUGUGUUGGGCUUCGUCCCCCCGUGGACGUGCCCGAAAGGCAGUGGCGGCGUCCCGAAUGGUGCCCGAGCGUAUGGGAACUCUCUUCCGCUCGAACCGGCCCAUUCGGCGCUGGUCGAACCCCAAUUUUUUUUUACCGGUUGACAUCGGAUCAGGUAGGGAUACCCGCUGAACUUAAGCAUAUCAAUAAGCGGAGGA
This 339-nucleotide unclassified non-coding RNA is filed under the name soil metagenome. RNAcentral's name for it is "partial contains 5.8S ribosomal RNA, internal transcribed spacer 2, and large subunit ribosomal RNA". The stretch from base 1 to 120 matches the Rfam family "5.8S ribosomal RNA", at positions 35 to 154 of the family's 154-position model. The record is from RNAcentral.